AUGGUAGGAUAGAGGCCUACCAUGGUUUUAACGGGUAACGGGGAAUUAGGGUUCGAUUCCGGAGAGGGAGCCUGAGAAACGGCUACCACAUCCAAGGAAGGCAGCAGGCGCGCAAAUUACCCAAUCCCGACACGGGGAGGUAGUGACAAUAAAUAACAAUAUGGGGCUCUUACGAGUCUCGUAAUUGGAAUGAGUACAAUUUAAAUCUCUUAACGAGGAACAAUUGGAGGGCAAGUCUGGUGCCAGCAGCCGCGGUAAUUCCAGCUCCAAUAGCGUAUAUUAAAGUUGUUGCAGUUAAAAAGCUCGUAGUUGAAUUUCGGAAUCUGUCCGUCGGUCGGGCUUCACUGUCCGUACUGGUGUGAUGGGUUUCUACCUUCUGAAUAACCGGCAUGUCAUUAAUUUGGUGCGCCGGGGAAGCAGAACUAUUACCUUGAAAAGAUUAGAGUGCUUAAAGCAGGCUAUCGCCUGAAUAGAUUAGCAUGGAAUAAUAAAAUAGGACGGCAUGGUUCUAUUUUGUUGGUUUCUAGGAUCACCGUAAUGAUUAAUAGGGAUAGUUGGGGGCAUUAGUAUUCAAUUGUCAGAGGUGAAAUUCUUGGAUUUAUUGAAGACUAACUUCUGCGAAAGCAUUUGCCAAGGAUGUUUUCAUUAAUCAAGAACGAAAGUUAGGGGAUCGAAGACGAUCAGAUACCGUCGUAGUCUUAACCAUAAACUAUGCCGACUAGGGAUCGGACGAUGUUAAUUUUUUAAUGACUCGUUCGGCGCCUUACGGGAAACCAAAGUGUUUGGG
This 787-nucleotide ribosomal RNA is filed under the name uncultured Acaulospora. RNAcentral's name for it is "SSU rRNA". It matches the Rfam family "Eukaryotic small subunit ribosomal RNA", at positions 325 to 1111 of the family's 1831-position model. Lineage: Eukaryota; Fungi; Glomeromycota; Glomeromycetes; Diversisporales; Acaulosporaceae. The record is from RNAcentral.